This 373-nucleotide ribosomal RNA is filed under the name uncultured bacterium. Its description in RNAcentral is "bacterial SSU rRNA". It matches the Rfam family "Bacterial small subunit ribosomal RNA", at positions 30 to 406 of the family's 1533-position model. The record is from RNAcentral.
AUUGAACGCUGGCGGCAUGCCUUACACAUGCAAGUCGAACGGCAGCGCGGGGCAACCUGGCGGCGAGUGGCGAACGGGUGAGUAAUAUAUCGGAACGUACCCUGGAGUGGGGGAUAACGUAGCGAAAGUUACGCUAAUACCGCAUACGAUCUAAGGAUGAAAGCAGGGGACCGCAAGGCCUUGUGCUCCUGGAGCGGCCGAUAUCUGAUUAGCUAGUUGGUGGGGAAAGGCCUACCAAGGCAUCGAUCAGUAGCUGGUCUGAGAGGACGACCAGCCACACUGGAACUGAGACACGGUCCAGACUCCUACGGGAGGCAGCAGUGGGGAAUUUUGGACAAUGGGCGCAAGCCUGAUCCAGCAAUGCCGCGUGAGU